GAUGAACGCUGGCGGCGUGCCUAAUACAUGCAAGUCGAGCGAACAGACGAGGAGCUUGCUCCUCUGACGUUAGCGGCGGACGGGCGAGUAACACGUGGAUAACCUACCUAUAAGACUGGGAUAACUUCGGGAAACCGGAGCUAAUACCGGAUAAUAUAUUGAACCGCAUGGUUCAAUAGUGAAAGACGGUUUUGCUGUCACUUAUAGAUGGAUCCGCGCCGCAUUAGCUAGUUGGUAAGGUAACGGCUUACCAAGGCAACGAUGCGUAGCCGACCUGAGAGGGUGAUCGGCCACACUGGAACUGAGACACGGUCCAGACUCCUACGGGAGGCAGCGGUAGGGAAUCUUCCGCAAUGGGCGAAAGCCUGACGGAGCAACGCCGCGUGAGUGAUGAAGGUCUUCGGAUCGUAAAACUCUGUUAUUAGGGAAGAACAAAUGUGUAAGUAACUAUGCACGUCUUGACGGUACCUAAUCAGAAAGCCACGGCUAACUACGUG
Molecule: ribosomal RNA, 497 nt
Filed under: uncultured bacterium
Lineage: Bacteria
Description: partial 16S ribosomal RNA
Rfam family: Bacterial small subunit ribosomal RNA
Source: RNAcentral